GAUGAACGCUGGCGGCGUGCCUAAUACAUGCAAGUCGAGCGAACGGACGAGAAGCUUGCUUCUCUGAUGUUAGCGGCGGACGGGUGAGUAACACGUGGAUAACCUACCUAUAAGACUGGGAUAACUUCGGGAAACCGGAGCUAAUACCGGAUAAUAUUUUGAACCGCAUGGUUCAAAAGUGAAAGACGGUCUUGCUGUCACUUAUAGAUGGAUCCGCGCUGCAUUAGCUAGUUGGUAAGGUAACGGCUUACCAAGGCAACGAUGCAUAGCCGACCUGAGAGGGUGAUCGGCCACACUGGAACUGAGACACGGUCCAGACUCCUACGGGAGGCAGCAGUAGGGAAUCUUCCGCAAUGGGCGAAAGCCUGACGGAGCAACGCCGCGUGAGUGAUGAAGGUCUUCGGAUCGUAAAACUCUGUUAUUAGGGAAGAACAUAUGUGUAAGUAACUGUGCACAUCUUGACGGUACCUAAUCAGAAAGCCACGACUAACUACGUGCCAGCAGCCGCGGUAAUACGUAGGUGGCAAGCGUUAUCCGGAAUUAUUGGGCGUAAAGCGCGCGUAGGCGGUUUUUUAAGUCUGAUGUGAAAGCCCACGGCUCAACCGUGGAGGGUCAUUGGAAACUGGAAAACUUGAGUGCAGAAGAGGAAAGUGGAAUUCCAUGUGUAGCGGUGAAAUGCGCAGAGAUAUGGAGGAACACCAGUGGCGAAGGCGACUUUCUGGUCUGUAACUGACGCUGAUGUGCGAAAGCGUGGGGAUCAAACAGGAUUAGAUACCCUGGUAGUCCACGCCGUAAACGAUGAGUGCUAAGUGUUAGGGGGUUUCCGCCCCUUAGUGCUGCAGCUAACGCAUUAAGCACUCCGCCUGGGGAGUACGACCGCAAGGUUGAAACUCAAAGGAAUUGACGGGGACCCGCACAAGCGGUGGAGCAUGUGGUUUAAUUCGAAGCAACGCGAAGAACCUUACCAAAUCUUGACAUCCUUUGACAACUCUAGAGAUAGAGCUUUCCCCUUCGGGGGACAAAGUGACAGGUGGUGCAUGGUUGUCGUCAGCUCGUGUCGUGAGAUGUUGGGUUAAGUCCCGCAACGAGCGCAACCCUUAAGCUUAGUUGCCAUCAUUAAGUUGGGCACUCUAAGUUGACUGCCGGUGACAAACCGGAGGAAGGUGGGGAUGACGUCAAAUCAUCAUGCCCCUUAUGAUUUGGGCUAUACACGUGCUACAAUGGACAAUACAAAGGGCAGCGAAACCGCGAGGUCAAGCAAAUCCCAUAAAGUUGUUCUCAGUUCGGAUUGUAGUCUGCAACUCGACUACAUGAAGCUGGAAUCGCUAGUAAUCGUAGAUCAGCAUGCUACGGUGAAUACGUUCCCGGGUCU
RNAcentral lists this ribosomal RNA (1372 nucleotides) under uncultured bacterium. Its description in RNAcentral is "bacterial SSU rRNA". It matches the Rfam family "Bacterial small subunit ribosomal RNA", at positions 28 to 1381 of the family's 1533-position model. The record is from RNAcentral.